RNAcentral lists this unclassified non-coding RNA (247 nucleotides) under Hevea brasiliensis (rubber tree). Lineage: Eukaryota; Viridiplantae; Streptophyta; Magnoliopsida; Malpighiales; Euphorbiaceae. The record is from RNAcentral.
GUCAGACCUUGUUGAGAAGGAACGUGAAGCUCAUAAACAUGAUGUGCACAAAGAACAUCAUGAAGAUUCAGACAAGAUCCAUCUACAGGGCAUUGAUGAAGAAUCUCAGAAUAUGAUCAAGAAGGUUAAGCAAGCAUUGGCUGAUGGGGAAGGAUGCAGGGUGUAUGGAGUAUUAGAUGUCCAGCGGGUUGCUGGGAAUUUCCAUUUAUCCGUUCAUGGGUUGAACAUUUUUGUUGCUCAAAUGAUU